Molecule: ribosomal RNA, 253 nt
Filed under: uncultured bacterium
Lineage: Bacteria
Description: partial 16S ribosomal RNA
Rfam family: Bacterial small subunit ribosomal RNA
Source: RNAcentral
AACGUAGGUUCCGAGCGUUAUCCGGAUUUACUGGGCGUAAAGCGUGCGCAGGCGGUGAUGUAAGACAGAUGUGAAAUCCCCGGGCUCAACCUGGGAACUGCAUUUGUGACUGCAUCGCUGGAGUGCGGCAGAGGGGGAUGGAAUUCCGCGUGUAGCAGUGAAAUGCGUAGAUAUGCGGAGGAACACCGAUGGCGAAGGCAAUCCCCUGGGCCUGCACUGACGCUCAUGCACGAAAGCGUGGGGAGCAAACAGG